GAUGAACGCUGGCGGCGUGCCUAAUACAUGCAAGUCGAGCGAAUGGAUUAAGAGCUUGCUCUUAUGAAGUUAGCGGCGGACGGGUGAGUAACACGUGGGUAACCUGCCCAUAAGACUGGGAUAACUCCGGAAAACCGGGGCUAAUACUGGAUAACAUUUUGAACCGCAUGGUUCGAAAUUGAAAGGCGGCUUCGGCUGUCACUUGUGGAUGGACCCGCGUCGCAUUAGCUAGUUGGUGAGGUAACGGCUCACCAAGGCAACGAUGCGUAGCCGACCUGAGAGGGUGAUCGGCCACACUGGGACUGAGACACGGCCCAGACUCCUACGGGAGGCAGCGGUAGGGAAUCUUCCGCAAUGGACGAAAGUCUGACGGAGCAACGCCGCGUGAGUGAUGAAGGCUUUCGGGUCGUAAAACUCUGUUGUUAGGGAAGAACAAGUGCUAGUUGAAUAAGCUGGCACCUUGACGGUACCUAACCAGAAAGCCACGGCUAACUACGUGCCAGCAGCCGCAGUAA
This 515-nucleotide ribosomal RNA is filed under the name uncultured bacterium. RNAcentral describes it as "partial 16S ribosomal RNA". It matches the Rfam family "Bacterial small subunit ribosomal RNA", at positions 28 to 523 of the family's 1533-position model. The record is from RNAcentral.